Heterocephalus glaber (naked mole-rat) is the source of this 114-nucleotide small nuclear RNA. The record is from Ensembl. NCBI's taxonomy places the organism in Eukaryota, Metazoa, Chordata, Mammalia, Rodentia, Bathyergidae.
CUAUGAACAUAAAAAAUUCAUCAUGGUGCUCGCCUCCAUGGAAUGAUACAGAGAAGAUUAGCGUGGCCCCUGUGCAAGGAUGACAUGCAAAUUUGUGAAGCGUUCCAUAUUUAA